Molecule: ribosomal RNA, 505 nt
Filed under: uncultured bacterium
Lineage: Bacteria
Description: partial 16S ribosomal RNA
Rfam family: Bacterial small subunit ribosomal RNA
Source: RNAcentral
GACGAACGCUGGCGGCGUGCCUAAUACAUGCAAGUCGAACGCACAGUUUAUACCGUAGCUUGCUACACCAUAGACUGUGAGUUGCGAACGGGUUAGUAACGCGUAGCUAACCUGCCUGGUAGCGGGGGAUAACUAUUGGAAACGAUAGCUAAUACCGCAUAAUAUUAAUUAUUGCAUGAUAAUUAAUUGAAAGGUGCAAUUGCACCACUACCAGAUGGACCUGCGUUGUAUUAGCUAGUAGGUGAGGUAACGGCUCACCUAGGCGACGAUACAUAGCCGACCUGGGAAGGUGAACGGCCACACUGGGACUGAGACACGGCCCAGACUCCUACGGGAGGCAGCAGUAGGGGAUCUUCGGCAAUGGACGAAAGUCUGAACGAGCAACGCCGCGUGAGUGGAGAAGGUUUUCGGAUCGUAAAGCUCUGUUGUAAGAGAAGAACGGGUGUGAGAGUGGAAAGUUCACACUGUGACGGUAUCUUAACAGAAAGGGACGGCUAACUACGUG